Long non-coding RNA from Dreissena polymorpha, 998 nucleotides. RefSeq lists it as uncharacterized. NCBI's taxonomy places the organism in Eukaryota, Metazoa, Mollusca, Bivalvia, Myida, Dreissenidae. The record is from RefSeq and is a predicted model, not a curated record. The transcript has 8 exons.
UCAUCGACGACCAUCUUGUUGAUAUUAACAUCAACAAAUCCUCUGAAACUUUAAUAACUGUUAUUUAUGGUUAAUACAUUGUUAACUCAUCAAAGGAGGUAUGUAUAUGAUUAUUGUACUUUUAACUCUUUCAGUGCUGGAACCGAAUUUUGAAGGCCUUUGAAAACAGUCUGGAUCCAGAUGAGACGCCACAGAACGUGGCGUCUCAUCAGGAUCCAAACUGUUUGCUAUUCUGAUAGUAUUCUUUGAAAAAAAUCGAAGAAAAUAUCUACUGACUGAAAACAAAAAGCUGGAGAUAGAGUUGCUGGUUUCGAUAAUGGAGUUCGUAGUCUUUCUUGUCUUCUAGAGUGCAGAGUUCAACGAUGGCGGUGUGUAAGCAGCUUCCAAAGAAGAGGCACCUGCAGCACUCUGGUCUUCUCGCAUUGCGUAGCGGUGGUCAUUAUCGAUCAGUGAAGUUUGAGCUGAAGAAUUUUUUCGGGAGAGUCGGAACACAAUCAAAGUUUGAUGAGGGAAUAUCUCUGUUCGUAGUUUAUAUAACUGAUUUGAAUGUGGACUUACAUCAACCACUGCAAUGGUUUGAGAGCGACACUCAAGUCGAUUGAAUGGGUACUUGGCUGUACUACUUUUCAACAUCUCAGAAUGGGCAACGAUGAUAGCUGGAUUGACUCCGACUUUCUUUGCUAGAAGUCUGUUCUGACGGAGAAACUGAGUUGAUGCUGACACUACUUUCUGGAGCAGACUUUUGUGAGGUUGCAAAUCCCUUCCCAACCUGAGAAGGCUUCCAUUGCUGUGGAGUGCAUUGAACGACAUCAUGGCCUAGAAGAACAUACCCGGGGAUAAUACCAGCAGCAACAAGUACCACGCAACCGCCAAAAUGCACGCCGCCAUUUUGAAGCACGUCUGAGUGAACCGAUGGUUUCCAUGGAUUCCAUGAAGAUUCAAUUGAUUUGCUGGUUUUUAAUUGUCCAAUUAUUUUUAAAAAUAAACAUUUUGGUGAA